AAGGAGACUUCAGGGCCCAGAGCGUUCCUGUCACCAAAGUCUCCCCUGGCUUCUGCAGAACUUUGGUCAUCUAGGUGAGGGACCACAGGCCAGCCAGCUGUUCCCUCCAGACGUCUCCGGAAACCUCUGAGUCCCUUGGAAGGUAACAAACUCAGACCAAGACUGAACUGGAGGUGUCUUGAUGGUCAAAAGUCUGGAGAGUCAGAGAGGAGAGGAAGGGUGAGUCCUGACUACAACAUAGAAACGGGAUGAUCUUGGCCAAUUUCUCAACCCCCUGAACCCCAGAGCCCUGGCUUUUUCAUGUGUGUAAUGAGAUGCCCUUUGGACAUUAGAAAGAAUGCAGAAA
Molecule: long non-coding RNA, 346 nt
Filed under: Rhinopithecus bieti (black snub-nosed monkey)
Lineage: Eukaryota; Metazoa; Chordata; Mammalia; Primates; Cercopithecidae
Description: lncRNA (ENSRBIG00000046771.1)
Source: RNAcentral